AACGGGGAGAAUUCAGUCCUGUGUUUCUGAAGAAAAGUAAAAGGAGACUGAUGUAACUCAGGAGUAGCAUCUCCAGGCCCAAAUCAAGAUUGGGGCUUUCCUGUGCUAGGCACUGUACAUACACAGGAAGAGACAGCCUAUGUCCUGGAGAGCUGAGAAUCUAACUAGGAUGCAGCUGAGAUCAGGGCUCAGUUUUGCUAGGUGUUGCACAAAGUAAUGAGAGAGAGGAGUCUUAGCCUGGAGGAACUUAAAUGUAAGUACACAAGACCAAGUGUGUGAAAAAAGGCUGGCGUGAAGGGGUGAAGUUGCCUGCCCAAGGUCACACAGCACAGAGGAGCAGAGGCCACAUCAUGAAAACCCAGGCCUCCCUGCUUCAAACAGACAUAUAGUACUCUUGCUCUUAUCCCUUCCUGCUUUCUGUACUUGCCCAAGAGCUGACAAAUCUCUUCUGAAGCCCUUGGGUCCAUCCAGCAGUAUGUGACGAGACAGAGGCCAGUUCUUGGAGUACCAUGAUCCAUUCCAGGCAUCAGUCUCUAAUCACCAUCAUUCUCCAAGGUUUAAAAUGGAAAUAAAAGAGA
Alligator mississippiensis (American alligator) is the source of this 578-nucleotide long non-coding RNA. RefSeq lists it as uncharacterized. The transcript has 5 exons. The record is from RefSeq and is a predicted model, not a curated record. Lineage: Eukaryota; Metazoa; Chordata; Crocodylia; Alligatoridae.